ACGAGUGUAGUGUAGUGGUUAUCACCCGGCGUUGCCAACGCCGGAACCCGGGUUCAAAUCCCGGCACUCGUACCA
RNAcentral lists this transfer RNA (75 nucleotides) under Marine Group II euryarchaeote MED-G36. RNAcentral's name for it is "tRNA-Gly". It matches the Rfam family "tRNA". From Rfam's summary of the family: Transfer RNA (tRNA) molecules are approximately 80 nucleotides in length. Their secondary structure includes four short double-helical elements and three loops (D, anti-codon, and T loops). Lineage: Archaea; Methanobacteriati; Thermoplasmatota; Candidatus Poseidoniia; Candidatus Poseidoniales. The record is from RNAcentral. RNAcentral also lists the same sequence under 4 other names.